GGGCGGGUAGCUCAGCCGGUUAGAGCAGGGGGCUCAUAACCCCACGGUCCCAGGUUCGAAUCCUGGCCCGCCCACAA
Molecule: transfer RNA, 77 nt
Filed under: Chloroflexota bacterium
Lineage: Bacteria; Bacillati; Chloroflexota
Description: Chloroflexi bacterium tRNA-Met
Rfam family: tRNA
About the family: Transfer RNA (tRNA) molecules are approximately 80 nucleotides in length. Their secondary structure includes four short double-helical elements and three loops (D, anti-codon, and T loops).
Source: RNAcentral